Molecule: ribosomal RNA, 253 nt
Filed under: uncultured bacterium
Lineage: Bacteria
Description: partial 16S ribosomal RNA
Rfam family: Bacterial small subunit ribosomal RNA
Source: RNAcentral
UACGUAGGGUGCAAGCGUUAAUCGGAAUUACUGGGCGUAAAGCGUGCGCAGGCGGCGGAGCAAGAUCGAUGUGAAAUCCCCGGGCUUAACCUGGGAACUGCAUUGAUGACUGCUUUGCUCGAGUACGGCAGAGGGGGAUGGAAUUCCGCGUGUAGCAGUGAAAUGCGUAGAUAUGCGGAGGAACACCGAUGGCGAAGGCAAUCCCCUGGGCCUGUACUGACGCUCAUGCACGAAAGCGUGGGGAGCAAACAGG